GGCCCCCUCUUGCGGUUACGGGGCCAUCUUGCCCGAGGCGGUGAGGCCCUGGGUUCAAAUCCCAGCGAGUCCA
This 73-nucleotide transfer RNA is filed under the name Halopelagius inordinatus. RNAcentral describes it as "tRNA_Pseudo_???". The record is from RNAcentral. Lineage: Archaea; Methanobacteriati; Methanobacteriota; Halobacteria; Halobacteriales; Haloferacaceae.